Molecule: ribosomal RNA, 720 nt
Filed under: Escherichia coli
Lineage: Bacteria; Pseudomonadati; Pseudomonadota; Gammaproteobacteria; Enterobacterales; Enterobacteriaceae
Description: partial 23S ribosomal RNA
Rfam family: Bacterial large subunit ribosomal RNA
Source: RNAcentral
GACCCCGUGAACCUUUACUAUAGCUUGACACUGAACAUUGAGCCUUGAUGUGUAGGAUAGGUGGGAGGCUUUGAAGUGUGGACGCCAGUCUGCAUGGAGCCGACCUUGAAAUACCACCCUUUAAUGUUUGAUGUUCUAACGUUGGCCCGUAAUCCGGGUUGCGGACAGUGUCUGGUGGGUAGUUUGACUGGGGCGGUCUCCUCCUAAAGAGUAACGGAGGAGCACGAAGGUUGGCUAAUCCUGGUCGGACAUCAGGAGGUUAGUGCAAUGGCAUAAGCCAGCUUGACUGCGAGCGUGACGGCGCGAGCAGGUGCGAAAGCAGGUCAUAGUGAUCCGGUGGUUCUGAAUGGAAGGGCCAUCGCUCAACGGAUAAAAGGUACUCCGGGGAUAACAGGCUGAUACCGCCCAAGAGUUCAUAUCGACGGCGGUGUUUGGCACCUCGAUGUCGGCUCAUCACAUCCUGGGGCUGAAGUAGGUCCCAAGGGUAUGGCUGUUCGCCAUUUAAAGUGGUACGCGAGCUGGGUUUAGAACGUCGUGAGACAGUUCGGUCCCUAUCUGCCGUGGGCGCUGGAGAACUGAGGGGGGCUGCUCCUAGUACGAGAGGACCGGAGUGGACGCAUCACUGGUGUUCGGGUUGUCAUGCCAAUGGCACUGCCCGGUAGCUAAAUGCGGAAGAGAUAAGUGCUGAAAGCAUCUAAGCACGAAACUUGCCCCGAGAUG